This 467-nucleotide ribosomal RNA is filed under the name uncultured bacterium. RNAcentral's name for it is "partial 16S ribosomal RNA". It matches the Rfam family "Bacterial small subunit ribosomal RNA", at positions 28 to 506 of the family's 1533-position model. The record is from RNAcentral.
GACGAACGCUGGCGGCGUGCUUAACACAUGCAAGUCGAACGGAAAGGCCCUGCUUUUGUGGGGUGCUCGAGUGGCGAACGGGUGAGUAACACGUGAGUAACCUGCCCUUGACUUUGGGAUAACUUCAGGAAACUGGGGCUAAUACCGGAUAGGAGCUCCUGCUGCAUGGUGGGGGUUGGAAAGUUUCGGCGGUUGGGGCUGGACUCGCGGCUUAUCAGCUUGUUGGUGGGGUAGUGGCUUACCAAGGCUUUGACGGGUAGCCAGCCUGAGAGGGUGACCGGCCACAUUGGGCCUGGGGUACGGCCCAGACUGCAACGGGAGGCAGCAGUGGAGAAUUGUGCACAAUGGGCGGAGGCAUGGUGGAGCAACGCCGGGUGGGGGAUGACGGCCUUCGGGUUGUAAACCGCUUGCGCCUGAGACGAAGCGUGAGGGACGGUAAUGGGUAAAGAAGCACCGGCUAACUACGU